UAAAAUGUCUUAUAUUUUAAGUAUUUUGGGGGCUAUUAAUAAAGGAAAUGGUCUCUCGGUGAAUUUCGUCACAGGCUUGCCAAAUAUGACGUUAGUUCAUGUUUCCUGGUGUGAGGGUGUUGAGGGUAAAGUAAACGUGAAUAUAGUGCCGUAGUUUGAGUACGUACUCAGUGUGACAGUGAGUCAGGGACCAGACACACAUCAACCAUGUUGCAGCUGAAAUGGUUAUUCUCCGUUGUAUAUCUUCUCUCGCGGUGCUCUGUGUGUGAGGCUUAUGUGGUCAGACGGUCCGGCAAGGCAGAAUCAUCGGAGUCUCUCUCAGGAUGUAGGUUUAUACUUCUUUAAUACCAGAAUGUUUUUAUUCUAGAAUUUGUGUGCUUAAUGUAUAAAUUAUUAUACAAUUGUAAAUUUAAACUGUAUGCAAUGAAUAUAUAACAAACAUGACUACAGUGGUUGCAGAGCAGAAUUUACAACUUCGAACCACUUAUUGUAUGGGUUUAAUAAAUCUAAAUGUACAUUCAGUAUGCUAA
This is a long non-coding RNA of Sinocyclocheilus grahami, 530 nucleotides long. RefSeq lists it as uncharacterized. The transcript is spliced from 2 exons. Lineage: Eukaryota; Metazoa; Chordata; Actinopteri; Cypriniformes; Cyprinidae. The record is from RefSeq and is a predicted model, not a curated record.